Molecule: unclassified non-coding RNA, 391 nt
Filed under: soil metagenome
Description: partial contains 5.8S ribosomal RNA, internal transcribed spacer 2, and large subunit ribosomal RNA
Rfam family: 5.8S ribosomal RNA (bases 1-122)
Source: RNAcentral
GAUGAAGAACGUAGCGAAAUGCGAUACUUGGUGUGAAUUGCAGAAUCCCGUGAACCAUCGAGUCUUUGAACGCAAGUUGCGCCCGAAGCCACUAGGCCGAGGGCACGCCUGCCUGGGCGUCACACGCCGUUGCCCCCCCAUCUACUCCUUCGGGAUUGCGGGGGGGCGGAUGAUGGCCUCCUGUGCGCCUAGCCGCGCGGUUGGCAUAAAUACCAAGUCCUCGGCGACGCACGCCACGACAAUCGGUGGUUGCGAAACCUCGGUUGCCCGUCGUGUGCGUUCGUCGCGCAUCGAGGGCUCGAAAAAAUGCUCGGCUCCGGCUGGGCUUUCAACGCGACCCCAGGUCAGGCGGGGUUACCCGCUGAAUUUAAGCAUAUCAAUAAGUGGAGGA